GCAUGGAAUAGGCCGGGGGGUUAGGCGUCCCCUGUAACCAGAAACCGCCUUUCGCUGGGGCCGAAGCCAGUGGGGCGGCGCAAACCGCAGGCAUAGAUCCACUGCUGAACGAUGAGGCCUCGUCCUCUGGGGUCAAAGGUGAUAGGUGGGCAAAUUGGAGGAUUUGUCCGCCUGUCUUUACUUGGAAGAAUGGGCCAGGCCCGGAAGGGAGCAGUCCGGUCCAAGACUGUUGAUGCUCAGAGGGGUGCGGGGUUGAGAUAAGCAUGGGUAAAUCUCUGUCUGCUUUUUGCGUCCACCCACGGCAUUUCCAUGC
This 313-nucleotide signal recognition particle RNA is filed under the name Thermoplasmatales archaeon. RNAcentral describes it as "signal recognition particle sRNA". It matches the Rfam family "Archaeal signal recognition particle RNA". The record is from RNAcentral. Lineage: Archaea; Methanobacteriati; Thermoplasmatota; Thermoplasmata; Thermoplasmatales.